UACGUAGGGUGCAAGCGUUGUCCGGAAUUAUUGGGCGUAAAGAGCUCGUAGGCGGUCUGUCGCGUCUGCUGUGAAAACCUGGGGCUUAACCCCGGGCCUGCAGUGGGUACGGGCAGACUAGAGUGUGGUAGGGGAGACUGGAAUUCCUGGUGUAGCGGUGAAAUGCGCAGAUAUCAGGAGGAACACCGGUGGCGAAGGCGGGUCCCUGGGCCAUAACUGACGCUGAGGAGCGAAAGCGUGGGGAGCGAACAGG
RNAcentral lists this ribosomal RNA (253 nucleotides) under uncultured bacterium. RNAcentral's name for it is "partial 16S ribosomal RNA". It matches the Rfam family "Bacterial small subunit ribosomal RNA", at positions 524 to 776 of the family's 1533-position model. The record is from RNAcentral.